RNAcentral lists this ribosomal RNA (515 nucleotides) under uncultured bacterium. RNAcentral's name for it is "partial 16S ribosomal RNA". It matches the Rfam family "Bacterial small subunit ribosomal RNA", at positions 28 to 523 of the family's 1533-position model. The record is from RNAcentral.
GAUGAACGCUGGCGGCGUGCCUAAUACAUGCAAGUCGAGCGAAUGGAUUAAGAGCUUGCUCUUAUGAAGUUAGCGGCGGACGGGUGAGUAACACGUGGGUAACCUGCCCAUAAGACUGGGAUAACUCCGGGAAACCGGGGCUAAUACCGGAUAACAUUUUGAACCGCAUGGUUCGAAAUUGAAAGGCGGCUUCGGCUGUCACUUAUGGAUGGACCCGCGUCGCAUUAGCUAGUUGGUGAGGUAACGGCGCACCAAGGCAACGAUGCGUAGCCGACCUGAGAGGGUGAUCGGCCACACUGGGAGUGAGACACGGCCCAGACUCCUACGGGAGGCAGCAGUAGGGAAUCUUCCGAAAUGGACGAAAGUCUGACGGAGCAACGCCGCGCGAGUGAUGAAGGCUUUCGGGUCGUAAAACUCUGUUGUUAGGGAAGAACAAGUGCUAGUUGAAUAAGCUGGCACCUUGACGGUACCUAACCAGAAAGCCACGGCUAACUACGUGCCAGCCGCCGCAGUAA